Molecule: ribosomal RNA, 406 nt
Filed under: uncultured bacterium
Lineage: Bacteria
Description: partial 16S ribosomal RNA
Rfam family: Bacterial small subunit ribosomal RNA
Source: RNAcentral
AUUGAACGCUGGCGGCAGGCCUAACACAUGCAAGUCGAGCGAGCGGCGGACGGGUGAGUAAUGUAUGGGGAUCUACCCGAUAGAGGGGGAUAACUACUGGAAACUGUGGCUAAUACCGCAUCCUGUCCGAUGAGCCCAUAUGGGAUUUGCUAGUAGGUGGGGUAAAGGCUCACCUAGGCGACGAUCUCUAGCUGGACUGAGAGGAUGAGCAGCCACACUGGGACUGAGACACGGCCCAGACUCCGACGGGAGGAGGCAGUGGGGAAUAUUGCACAAGGGGCGCAAGACUGAUGCAGCCAGGCCGCGUGUAUGAAGAAGGCCUUAGGGUUGUAAAGUACUUUCAGCGGGGAGGCGUUACCCGCAGAAGAAGCACCGGCUAACUCCGUGCCAGCAGCCGCGGUAAUUC